Molecule: non-coding RNA, 80 nt
Organism: Perkinsus marinus ATCC 50983
Lineage: Eukaryota; Perkinsozoa; Perkinsida; Perkinsidae
Source: Rfam
GACAGUUUGUCCGAGUGGUCUAAGGCGCUGGCUUCAGGCGUCAGUCCGCAAAGGCGUGGGUUCGAAUCCUACAGCUGUUA